GUGGAAGUGCUCGAAAGAGAACUUGAACACAGGUGCUGCAUGGCCGUCGUCAGCUCGUGUCGUGAGAUGUUGGGUUAAGUCCCGCAACGAGCGCAACCCUUGUCAUUAGUUGCUACGCAAGAGCACUCUAAUGAGACUGCCGGUGACAAACCGGAGGAAGGUGGGGAUGACGUCAGGUCCUCAUGGCCCUUAUGGGUAGGGCUACACACGUCAUACAAUGGCCGGUACAGAGGGCUGCCAACCCGCGAGGGGGAGCCAAUCCCAGAAAACCGGUCGUAGUCCGGAUCGUAGUCUGCAACUCGACUGCGUGAAGUCGGAAUCGCUAGUAAUCGCGGAUCAGCACGCCGCGUCAUCGUCCGGCCUU
RNAcentral lists this ribosomal RNA (364 nucleotides) under uncultured Aquabacterium sp. Its description in RNAcentral is "bacterial SSU rRNA". It matches the Rfam family "Bacterial small subunit ribosomal RNA", at positions 1008 to 1363 of the family's 1533-position model. The record is from RNAcentral. Lineage: Bacteria; Pseudomonadati; Pseudomonadota; Betaproteobacteria; Burkholderiales; Sphaerotilaceae.